CCUAGGAAUCUGCCUGGUAGUGGGGGACAACGUUUCGAAAGGAACGCUAAUACCGCAUACGUCCUACGGGAGAAAGCAGGGGACCUUCGGGCCUUGCGCUAUCAGAUGAGCCUAGGUCGGAUUAGCUAGUUGGUGAGGUAAUGGCUCACCAAGGCGACGAUCCGUAACUGGUCUGAGAGGAUGAUCAGUCACACUGGAACUGAGACACGGUCCAGACUCCUACGGGAGG
Molecule: ribosomal RNA, 229 nt
Filed under: uncultured Pseudomonas sp.
Lineage: Bacteria; Pseudomonadati; Pseudomonadota; Gammaproteobacteria; Pseudomonadales; Pseudomonadaceae
Description: partial 16S ribosomal RNA
Rfam family: Bacterial small subunit ribosomal RNA
Source: RNAcentral